GAUGAACGCUAUCUACAGGCUUAACACAUGCAAGUCGAGGGGCAUCAGGAAGAAAGCUUGCUUUCUUUGCUGGCGACCGGCGCACGGGUGAGUAACACGUAUCCAACCUGCCCUUUACUCGGGGGUAGCCUUUCGAAAGAAAGAUUAAUACCCGAUAGCAUAAUGAUUCCGCAUGGUUUCAUUAUUAAAGGAUUCCGGUAAAGGAUGGGGAUGCGUUCCAUUAGGUUGUUGGUGAGGUAACGGCCCACCAAGCCUUCGAUGGAUAGGGGUUCUGAGAGGAAGGUCCCCCACAUUGGAACUGAGACACGGUCCAAACUCCUACGGGAGGCAGCAGUGAGGAAUAUUGGUCAAUGGGCGCUAGCCUGAACCAGCCAAGUAGCGUGAAGGAUGAAGGCUCUAUGGGUCGUAAACUUCUUUUAUAUAAGAAUAAAGUGCAGUAUGUAUACUGUUUUGUAUGUAUUAUAUGAAUAAGGAUCGGCUAACUCCGUGCCAGCAGCCGCGGUAAUACGGAGGAUCCGAGCGUUAUCCGGAUUUAUUGGGUUUAAAGGGAGCGUAGGUGGACUGGUAAGUCAGUUGUGAAAGUUUGCGGCUCAACCGUAAAAUUGCAGUUGAUACUGUCAGUCUUGAGUACAGUAGAGGUGGGCGGAAUUCGUGGUGUAGCGGUGAAAUGCUUAGAUAUCACGAAGAACUCCGAUUGCGAAGGCAGCUCACUGGACUGCAACUGACACUGAUGCUCGAAAGUGUGGGUAUCAAACAGGAUUAGAUACCCUGGUAGUCCACACAGUAAACGAUGAAUACUCGCUGUUUGCGAUAUACAGUAAGCGGCCAAGCGAAAGCAUUAAGUAUUCCACCUGGGGAGUACGCCGGCAACGGUGAAACUCAAAGGAAUUGACGGGGGCCCGCACAAGCGGAGGAACAUGUGGUUUAAUUCGAUGAUACGCGAGGAACCUUACCCGGGCUUAAAUUGCAGUGGAAUGAUGUGGAAACAUGUCAGUGAGCAAUCACCGCUGUGAAGGUGCUGCAUGGUUGUCGUCAGCUCGUGCCGUGAGGUGUCGGCUUAAGUGCCAUAACGAGCGCAACCCUUAUCUUUAGUUACUAACAGGUUAUGCUGAGGACUCUAGAGAGACUGCCGUCGUAAGAUGUGAGGAAGGUGGGGAUGACGUCAAAUCAGCACGGCCCUUACGUCCGGGGCUACACACGUGUUACAAUGGGGGGUACAGAAGGCAGCUAGCGGGUGACCGUAUGCUAAUCCCAAAAUCCUCUCUCAGUUCGGAUCGAAGUCUGCAACCCGACUUCGUGAAGCUGGAUUCGCUAGUAAUCGCGCAUCAGCCACGGCGCGGUGAAUACGUUCCCGGGCCUUGUACACACCGCCCGUCAAGCCAUGGGAGCCGGGGGUACCUGAAGUACGUAACCGCAAGGAUCGUCCUAGGGUAAAACUGGUGACUGGGGCUAAGUCGUA
This 1459-nucleotide ribosomal RNA is filed under the name uncultured organism. Its description in RNAcentral is "SSU rRNA". It matches the Rfam family "Bacterial small subunit ribosomal RNA". The record is from RNAcentral.